CCCUCACUGUCUUUUUCCUCACCUGAUGCCCCCAUUGAAAAUAUUGCUAUAGGUUUCUAUCAAAUACUCAAUACAGCUUGUUCUCCCCUUGCCCAUUUCCAGAUCCGACGCUGUGACAGAUCAAGUGUGGACUAGCCUGGAUCUGCAUCUUCUUGCUGGUAGAGCCAUCUCUGUCGUCAUUCUCUCUACUGGGAAAUGGACUUAUUUAUCUACUUACUGGAAGUUUGAACUCUUUGACCACCAAUUCCACAUGCCCUCUCCAUCUCAGGUGUAUAUCAGAAAACAAAGCAGACACCAUUUCCUGCUCUUAUGGAGCUUGUCUAUGGAGGAAGGAGACAACAAGAAAAAUUAUUAGGAAGAGAGCUCAAGAGCUUUAGCUCAGGGGACCAGACUUUUUGAAGAGAGAGCUCACUUUGGCUGUGCCUGAAAGGCCCUGCUCUUCAGUUCUCCAAGGGAAAAUGAGCCCACCCCACACUGGGAAACAGCUCUUAACCAAUCAGCGGCACAAACAGCAUACUCCAGGAGGCCUCAGAUCUCUAAUCAGCAACUUGAAUCAUGCUGAGGAAAUUGCCCUUAAUGUGUCAUCCAAAUUUUAUGUAGCCCUAAAUGUUUCAUUUAAAUGUAAAACAAAGAUAACAGAGUGUAUCCUAGUGAAAUGUGUCCCUCUUCCAAUCAGGCUGUUCUUUCCCUGGCACUCAAAAUUCAAAUCCUGCUGAGAAAUUAUCCUGCAUCACCUUCCCAACUAGCAAAACUCCCAUCAGAGAGAGCCAACUAUUUUUGAAAUCUUCAGAGCAUUUCAAAUACAAUGGCACUCAACGAUGGAGAACCUUCUUGGGGACAGGCACUAGACUCGUUGUGGAGAACACAGAGGUGUAU
Long non-coding RNA from Lontra canadensis (Northern American river otter), 876 nucleotides. RefSeq lists it as uncharacterized. The record is from RefSeq and is a predicted model, not a curated record. NCBI's taxonomy places the organism in Eukaryota, Metazoa, Chordata, Mammalia, Carnivora, Mustelidae. The transcript has 4 exons.